This 4197-nucleotide long non-coding RNA is filed under the name Sus scrofa (pig). Its description in RNAcentral is "lncRNA (ENSSSCG00000052323.1, ENSSSCG00130013564.1)". The record is from RNAcentral. Lineage: Eukaryota; Metazoa; Chordata; Mammalia; Artiodactyla; Suidae.
UUCCUAGUAAAUUUAUUCAUAACUACAACCCACAGAUAACCCAAAUACCGCUCAAGAGGAAGAUGAAUAAACAAAUUAUACUUAUUUAAUAAAAUAUUCCUCAAGAAUAAAAAGAAACUACUUAUAUACUAAAUAGCGUGGAUGGAUCCCAAAAGCAUUAUUCUGAGUGAAAAAAGCCAGACACGAUGACGCCAUAUGAAUAAACUUACAUAAUAUUUUAGAAGGAACAAAGCCAGUCCCUAGUGAUAGAAAGUAGACCCAUGUUGCCUGGGGCCAGAGGCUGAGAAUGAGUGGCUUUAAAUGUCCAUGAGUGAGAGUUUUGAAGGUGGAUGAAAACAUUCUACUUCUUGCUCUGGUAAUAGUUUAAUAGGUACAUGGAGUCAUGUGUUGGUUGAAACAUCAAACUCUGUCUUAAGUAGCAGAAACAACAGAAGUCCAUUACACAGAUUAUUCUUGACUCAAGCAACAAGAUCACUUUUUUUUUGAUUCCAGAAUACCAUGUGCUUUCCUGCACUAAGGUCUUUCAUAAUGCUGUUCCCUUUGCCAGGAAUGUCCAGUCUCAUCUCUUUAGGUGAGGUUCUACUAACCUUACAUGGCAUCUUUUCAAUGAUGUCUCUCUAAUUAAAUCUUGAGUUGUCAUGCUCUGAACCUUAUAAUUAUUUUUAUCCUUCAUGCUUUUUUCUUAAUCUGCCUUAUGUUAUAGUUAUUUAUUAUACUGCCCCUUACUUGUUCUCUGAUGAUCUAUAAGAUGCCUGAGAGCAAGGAUCCUUGUACCUCCAGAAGCCUAUUGCCCAAGAAUGAACCUGAGAGUGGGUGUUUGUUAUCAGUGUGCUGACAUAAAUUAAUUGCUAUGAAUUAAUGAAUUGUUUUAAGGUUCUGAUCCGAGAGAUGUGUGAAAUCACUUGCUUCCACAUGGAGAUACAUUUGAAAGAGACCUAAUAUUUUUCACUGUUGUGGGUGCCAGGUGUUCACCAUGGGAUCGGGAGGAUUUGCCCUUGGAUUAGAUUUUAAAAUUGAAAACAGCUACAUGUGAGUUGAGCCCAGAAGGAUAUAUGACAGCUUUAUAGAGACGUGUGGUGGUUGGGUCAUGAAAUGAAAGGGUUGCCAGUGUAAAACUAUUAUUUGUUCUGGGGAACUUCUAAAACAAAGGAAAAAUAAUUUUGCUUUUGUAAAACAUGAAAGCUGAUAGAUGGUAAUUAUUUUCUGCUUGGCUGCAAUUACGACUUCAUAACAUAAUAUACUGUAUUAAUGACUGUGCUGUGUUAAUUGGAGAAGCAGGUAUAUUAAGAACACCCAUGAGAUUUUAAUACUGGUAAUGUAUUUGAAUCUUUAACUUUGUGGAAAAUGGUGUGAAACAUUAUUUUUCAAUGCCAUGGCUUUUAUUCUCAAACCCAAAGAAUUAGAGUAAUGUGUUUGUAGCCUCAUCCACACAGAGAAUCAACUAAUUGGUAGUGUUUUACACAGUCUGUGCCAAGAAAUGCUCAACUUGAGAUUGGAAAGAUGUAAAUGCUAUAACCCAUGGUUACAGAGGAGAGAAAACUAACCCUAUUGUUCAAGUACCCCCGGCCAUUAUUCUCUUGGUUAUAAAGUUACUAAAAAGUGCUUUUCUGUGCACUAAUUAGAUGUGUAGACACAGACUGAAAUUUUGGAGUUGAUGAUGACAGAACCCAGACAUUUUCUGAGUUGAUAAGGCCUUUGUGCAGUCCUCAGCAUCUGUGUCUGUUUCUUGCUCGUAAUUGGGGAAAACAUCACAUAUAAACCUUGCUAGUGGAUAAGGGUAACUGGAGGGCACAGUCAGCAGCAGCUUCCCUGCUUCUUUUUUGCUUAAGCUUAGUCUUUCCCACUGGUAUAUUGACGAGAGUCCUGAGGUAAACAUUGUGAUAAAAAUAGCCAACAUUUAUUGAGUGCCAAGCGUGCUAAGCCCUUUACGUAUAAUCCUAAAAGAGCGAUAUUAUUAUUAUGCCCAUUUUACAGAUGGGUAAGCUGAGACUUGGGUUAGGUAAACCUGCCCAUGGUUAUAGGCCAGUGAAUGCUGAGGUUGGAAUUGUAAACACUGCUUUAUUUUUUGCAUCACUUUAAAAAUGAACUCUUUCAUGGUUGUGAUCUUUAGCUCUAAAAGGAGAUUAGAAAGAGCUGAAUAUACUAUCACAUGUUCAUCAAACAGGACUUAGAUAAACACACACUCUGUUCUAAGUAGCUUUUUGCUCAUGAUGGGCAAAGAGAAUUCAUAUAUGGCCAAAGGGGACAGCGUGGUUUUUUUUAUCCAUCUUCAAACUAAAGUUUGAGCCUUUUGAGCCUGCACAUAUAUCCAGCUACAAUCCAUACAUUUGCCUCUUAGUCUUGGCCUUGAAAAUCUAGUUUCAACAAUUUGUCGAUGCAUAGUUAAUGGAUUCAAUGUACGUGCACCCCACCCCCAGGAUGUAUAAGGUUGUUAUUUUACAUAUUUGUCACAAAUGACUGCAGCCUCCAUAUAUUAUUGGAGUGAGCUUUUCUAAUGGGGAUAAAUGUACCACACUGUGGACUCUCAAGAUGGCAAGAUACACAACUUAUGUUCAGUGAAGCGGGGGCAAAUAUAUUAUCCCUCUGCCCUGCUGUGACAUGCAUAUAUUCCAUUUGAGCGUCGCGAGGGCAUUAAAUCCAGAGAGAUCAAAAGAAAAUACAGAGACAGACUUCAGCUGCUGGUUCUUAAAGCAGUUUCUAUUGGCUCCACGCUAUUUGCAUAGAGUGUAGAAGGCUUAACUGCUUCAUCAAAAGAGAAAUUUUAUUGAAACAUUAUAUUUUUAUAAGUUUUUUUUUCUCCUGCAAGUUACAUUUCCCUAAAUUGCCUGAAAAUCCAGGGAGAUUUUUAAUAAAUGAGAACUCAAGGGAAAGCGUUCUCUUCUACUUUUGUAAUAAUGGAGUGUGGAAUACAAUUUUAAAAUGUUAUGUACACUUUUAUCAAAAGAACUUAAGUUCAGAAUUUUAUUUCCUAAAGACCUAGUUUUCACAAAACUUGUUUUAAAGAAUUAUUUGCAUCUGGCAGAUUUUCUUCCAUCCUUUUUGUGGUUGCCCUUUACAAAUGAAAAUACAGGUGCCCUGGUUAAUGAAUCUUUUGGGCAGGUACUGUCCAUUUUAUUUAGAAUAGCAACAAAAAGUGCAGAAUUGGGGAGAGAAGCUUUUCACAAGAGCUGUAAUUUUUGAUUCUUAUUUUUUGCAUAGCAUAGUAGACUAUUUACACUAGUGAAAGUGUUAUAGGCUGGGGUGAGCAUUCCAAGGGCUGGUAGAAUGUAUUAAGCAUUGCUUCUUUGCCUCAUAUAUGAAACUAAACACAGAGUCAGAACUGUGUCGUUGAACUUGGAGAAGUCAACCAGUCUGAUCGCUCAUCUCUGUGGAAAUAGAAGUAUGAAGAGACAGGUUAAAACUCUGGUUUUAAACCCUUGGCAGUAUUAAACAGAUUUCAGGAUGGCAUUAAACCAAGGGAUUUGAGCCAGACAUUGGGUAUUCAAGCUCCUAUGACUAUGACCUCUGAAACAGAAAGCAUUGUAAAGGAGGCUUCUGAGUUUGCACAGGAAGCUUGACAAUAGCUUUCCUCUAAAGAGAAAACUGAGACUUAAGGUGUCAUGAUUAAGUUCAUUGGCGUGAUCGAAUCAUUUCUCUCACACUGUUGAAAGCUGCAGGUUUGUCGUCCAGGUCUGUGGGAGCUCUACAAAAUUGUUAGGAACCCAGGCUCCUGUGUGUGUGUGUGUGUGUGUGUUCUCUCUUUCUCUCUCUCAGCCUUCCUUAGCAUGGUUCAAAAUGGUGACUGGAACUCUAGCUAAGGAGGAAAAGAUGAAAAAGCAGAGAAGUAGUACCUACAUGACAUGUUUUUAAAGGAAGUUUCCUAGAACCUGCCUCAUAGACCUUUUCUUACAUCUCACUGGCCCAAACUUAAUUCUGUGUCCACACCUAGCUAAACAGGAAGUUGGGAAACCUAGUUGAAAUUCUGAGAGUCCUCUGCUGAGCAAGAAUUCUGUCACUGAUCAAGAGAGAAGAAAGGAUAUUGAGGUGGGUAGCCUCAGUGAUAGGAAUUGCUUAGGAUCACAGAGUUUUCUAAUGACUGAGAUGAGAAGUAUAUCUCCUGGGAGUUCCCUGGUGGCUUAGCAGGUUAAGGACCUGGCUUUGUCACUUUUGUGUCAUGGGUUCAAUCCCUUGCCGUGGAGCUUCCACAUGCAGCAGUGC